Molecule: ribosomal RNA, 467 nt
Filed under: Streptomyces sp. A00048
Lineage: Bacteria; Bacillati; Actinomycetota; Actinomycetes; Kitasatosporales; Streptomycetaceae
Description: bacterial SSU rRNA
Rfam family: Bacterial small subunit ribosomal RNA
Source: RNAcentral
CGUGCUUACACAUGCAAGUCGAACGAUGAAGCCGCUUCGGUGGUGGAUUAGUGGCGAACGGGUGAGUAACACGUGGGCAAUCUGCCCUUCACUCUGGGACAAGCCCUGGAAACGGGGUCUAAUACCGGAUAAUACUCUGUUCCGCAUGGGACGGGGUUGAAAGCUCCGGCGGUGAAGGAUGAGCCCGCGGCCUAUCAGCUUGUUGGUGGGGUAAUGGCCUACCAAGGCGACGACGGGUAGCCGGCCUGAGAGGGCGACCGGCCACACUGGGACUGAGACACGGCCCAGACUCCUACGGGAGGCAGCAGUGGGGAAUAUUGCACAAUGGGCGAAAGCCUGAUGCAGCGACGCCGCGUGAGGGAUGACGGCCUUCGGGUUGUAAACCUCUUUCAGCAGGGAAGAAGCGAAAGUGACGGUACCUGCAGAAGAAGCGCCGGCUAACUACGUGCCAGCAGCCGCGGUAAUAC